This is a non-coding RNA of Lasiosphaeris hirsuta, 119 nucleotides long. NCBI's taxonomy places the organism in Eukaryota, Fungi, Ascomycota, Sordariomycetes, Sordariales, Lasiosphaeriaceae. The record is from the annotation of a GenBank genome assembly.
GGUCGCAUGGUGUAGUUGGUUAUCACGUCAGCUUAACAAAUUCGUCUGAUCGAGCCAGUAGGCAUCGGCAAAAAUAUGUGUUCCGCUGAAGGUCCUCAGUUCAAUCCUGAGUGCGAUCA